GCUCCGGUGGCAUAGUGGUUAGAGCGUCCGCCUCCGAUGCGGGAGGUCGUGGAUUCAAACCCGGGCCGAAUCA
Non-coding RNA from Potamilus streckersoni, 73 nucleotides. The record is from the annotation of a GenBank genome assembly. Lineage: Eukaryota; Metazoa; Mollusca; Bivalvia; Unionida; Unionidae.